RNAcentral lists this ribosomal RNA (211 nucleotides) under uncultured bacterium. Its description in RNAcentral is "partial 16S ribosomal RNA". It matches the Rfam family "Bacterial small subunit ribosomal RNA", at positions 123 to 334 of the family's 1533-position model. The record is from RNAcentral.
AAUCUGCCCAGUAGCGGGGGACAACCUGGUGAAAACCAGGCUAAUACCGCAUACGCCCUACGGGGGAAAGAUGGCCUCUUCUUGAAAGCUAUCACUAUUGGAUGAGCCUAUGUCAGAUUAGCUAGUUGGUGAGGUAAUGGCUCACCAAGGCGACGAUCUGUAGCUGGUCUGAGAGGAUGAUCAGCCACACUGGGACUGAGACACGGCCCAG